This is a long non-coding RNA of Lynx canadensis (Canada lynx), 1056 nucleotides long. RefSeq lists it as uncharacterized. Lineage: Eukaryota; Metazoa; Chordata; Mammalia; Carnivora; Felidae. The transcript is spliced from 3 exons. The record is from RefSeq and is a predicted model, not a curated record.
UGCUCACAAAAACUGCUUGAGCCCGACGAAGAGCCCGGACUCUGAAUCCACAGAGAAUUGGAAAGGAACAGGAAAUUCACCAGACAGAGAGAGGACGAGGGUUGAUUCAGUCGCCUGGGUUCAUGCUGUGGAGUCAUGAGGCCGGUGUAGAGGCUUGUGAUACCCUGGCAAUUAGCACAAGUCCAGCGGGACCCUUGUGAAGGGCAGACACAGGAGAAAAAGAGAUCUCUGGAGCAUCACUAGUGGGAAAGAGAAUUGGCGCACGAAGACAGCUGAGACUGAGAUGAAGACAAAGGUUCUUAUCCUGUUUCUAGCCCUUUUGAACAAGUUUCCUUGUUUGAACAAGUUUCCAGAGCUUUCUACCCUCAGAAGGGGAAGGAGACUGUCUUUUAGUGUGAGGCAUGCAAAGUGUAACCUGCCCUUCCAGGGUGAGCUCUUCCAAUUACCACGGGGCUGCCCAAAGAAAAUCAUCGGAAUUGAAGAUACAGCAUCACACUGGUAGGCUCUAGAAUGAGGGAGGCAGCAGCCCUUUUCCCUUGUGGCGUUCAGACCACAAGCAGAGAAUGAGCCAUACCUGGAAAAGCAGAAGAGGGUGUGCAGGGUUUCGAGGUACCUUGAAGGGCACAUAGAGCUGGCUUCCCAUGGGCUGUCCUGUAGAAGAUUUAUUAGACUUGCUGAGUCUGGUCUCCAGAGCUGGGCUGUUGGUGGACACUGAAGAUUUAUCCUGUUAGAACAAAGCUAUCUCUAACUGCCUUGAGAAGUGAAUUCUUUAUUCCUGGAAAGAACCAAGGUACCAACAUUUCGAGGACAAUAGCAUCAGUGGGACAGCCAGCCCUGAAAGCUAACUUCGCUUCAUUGUUUCAAAAAGUGGUGGUUUCCACUGUGAAGAAAUGUGGUUUAAAGUUUUUAUUGUUUUCACUGCUGGAGGUUAACGUGGUGAGUGAAUUUUGAGAACAAGCAUUUCCAACAGUUCUGCUCUAACAUGAAAGUGGAGACUAUGUAACAACAUAUUUUAGGAACUCUAACUUGGAAGGUGCUAAAAAAAAAAAAAAAAAA